GGCAGCCUACGGGAGGCAGCAGUGGGGAAUAUUGCGCAAUGGGGGAAACCCUGACGCAGCAACGCCGCGUGCGGGAUGAAGGCUUUCGGGUCGUAAACCGCUUUCAGCAGGGAAGAUAGUGACGGUACCUGCAGAAGAAGCCCCGGCUAAAUACGUGCCAGCAGCCGCGGUAAUACGUAUGGGGCGAGCGUUAUCCGGAUUCAUUGGGCGUAAAGCGCGCGCAGGCGGGCUGGUAAGCGGGACCUCUAAUCUCGG
RNAcentral lists this ribosomal RNA (255 nucleotides) under uncultured bacterium. Its description in RNAcentral is "partial 16S ribosomal RNA". It matches the Rfam family "Bacterial small subunit ribosomal RNA", at positions 333 to 605 of the family's 1533-position model. The record is from RNAcentral.